GACGAACGCUGGCGGCGUGCUUAACACAUGCAAGUCGAACGGAAAGGCCUUUUCGGAGGUACUCGAGUGGCGAACGGGUGAGUAACACGUGGGUGAUCUGCCCUGCACUCUGGGAUAAGCCUGGGAAACUGGGUCUAAUACCGGAUAGGACCGCACUUUAGUGUGUGUGGUGGAAAGUUUUUUCGGUGUAGGAUGGGCUCGCGGCCUAUCAGCUCGUUGGUGGGGUUAUGGCGUACCAAGGCGGCCCCGGGUAGCCGGACUGAGAGGUUGGUCGGCCACAUUGAGACUGAGAGACGGCACAGACGCCUACGAGAGGCAGCAGUGGGGAAUAUUGCACAAUGGGCGCAGGCCGGAUGCAGCGGCGCCGCGGGGUGGAUGACGGCCUUGGGGUUGUAGACACCUUGCACGAGAGACGAAGCGUGUUGUGACGGUACCUGAAGAAGAAGCAUCGGCUAACUACGUG
Molecule: ribosomal RNA, 463 nt
Filed under: uncultured bacterium
Lineage: Bacteria
Description: partial 16S ribosomal RNA
Rfam family: Bacterial small subunit ribosomal RNA
Source: RNAcentral